RNA transcript from Mus musculus (house mouse), 3177 nucleotides. It is a transcript of the gene named albumin superfamily member 1, with no coding region annotated. The transcript has 14 exons. The record is from RefSeq and is marked validated. Lineage: Eukaryota; Metazoa; Chordata; Mammalia; Rodentia; Muridae.
AACUUUUUAUUUGAGAUUUUCAAGGAAAAAAAAAGAAUUGGUCUUAAUUUUCCAUUUAGGCAGUGGUGACGUGUGUGAGUGAAAGUCACAUGAUGGUCCUGAUUGACAACCAGCACUCAGGGAUAGGAGUCCUUUGUGUUUGCUGGCUUGGCUGUGCCCUCCACCUCUCCCCUCUCCAGGGUCUUGGCAAUGCCAGUGUUGGCAUUGACACCUGAGUCCAGUCCACUUGCCCAGUCAAAGGCAGUUCAUGUUUGCUUUCUCUUUGCCUCUUUAGAACUUUGCACAUGUAAACAGGCAUUUCUAUGAAACGAGAUACUGUAGACUGGCAUUUACCAAACAGGUGCAUCGUUUGCUAGCACGAGGCCUGUGUGUUGCAAUCUCAAACAUAUCAUAGGUCGACAUGAUCUGCUUUAAAUUCCUGUAUUCAUUAACAAACACGGACAUUUCUUCACUGUCCUGAGUUUGUCCGGUUUCAUGACAGUCCAUGGGAGCCUUAAGAAAAACUAAUAUUCACUAGAAAAGCUAACGGUUAAUGAUAAUUGCUGGAAAAGAAUAUAAACACCAUCAUUCCUCUCAAACGGCGGAACUUCAUCUGAAACAAUGGAGGUUCUUAAAGCUCUACCCUUCAUUGUUUUCUUCAGCUACAGUAAAUGUGAGUCUCUCCAAACAAGUUUACUACAUGCAGCCAGGCAGCAUGUCAGUGGGCAGGAUCACCUGGAGGAGAACUUAGGAGUCAGUGUCAGCAUUAUGGUGGCUCAGUUUCUUCAGGAUGCAGCUUAUGACCAAGUCCAAACCAUAGCUAAAGAGCUGCUGAAGCUUGCUGAAAAGUGUAAGCGUCUCAAACCUGAGUCACCCUCAGAGUGUGCUCAUCAACUGGUGGCUGCCUUCCUUAUACACAUUUGCAACAACCAAGGCCUGGUGGAUAGUCACGUGUUCACUGACUGUUGUAAGAUGAAAACUGCAGCAAGACUCAGGUGCUUCCUCUCCUACAAGAAAGACGACGCAGACAGCCAUGAUACACCCCUGAUUCCAAGGCCUGAACUGACCUGUGAGGUGGCUGCAGAGAAUAAUGUGUCCCUGAAGGAGAGGUUCAGCUAUGAAAUAUCUAGAAGACACCCAUUCUUAUACGGACCCACUAUCUUGAGCAUGUCUGCUUGCUAUGAUACAGCUGUUCAGUCAUGUUGUCAAGAAGAGAAUGAAACAGAGUGCCUGCGGACAAAGCUAGAACCCAUCAGAAAAUACAUUAGAGGAAUAUCUGCAAGACAUCAUCACUUAUGUGAAAUUGGCACCAAAUUCAACGAGAAAGUAGCAAGUGCAGUAGAGUUGAUUCUACUCACCAAAAAGCAACCUAAAGCUAAUUUUUCUGAAAUCGCCAAAUUGACCAUGGAUGUUAAAAAUCUGCAUGAGACCUGUUGUGAGGGGAACACAUUAGUGUGUGCCCUGGGCAGGCGCCAGCUUAUGAAUUACACCUGCUCUAACCAGGCCAUCUUAUCCAGCAAGUUUGCUGAGUGCUGUGAACAGCCAGAACCAUUCCGCGGGGAGUGCAUCGUCAACUCAGAAAAUGACGACAAGCCUGACCUUUCACCCCUGCCGCUCACAAGGUUUACAGAAGACUGGUCUGUGUGCCAACAAUUCAGCGGCAACCAGGACAGCUUUCUACAGGAGUUUCUUUAUGAAUACUCAAGAAGACACCUGGAGUUGGCGGUUCCCGUGAUCUUAAGAGUCUUUGAAACAUACAAACGUGUAUUGGAGAAAUGUUGCAAGCUAGAAAACUCCUUGGAAUGCCACCAGCCUGGGAAAGAGAUGUUCCAAAAAGUGAUACUUGAAAGCCGUGACCAAGUUAAAACUUACUGUGACUUACAGAAGCAGCUGGGCAGUAGCAGCUUCCAGGACAGGUGUGCUCGCCAGACACCCCAGACUCAUCCUCAUCAGAGACUGUUGGUUAGUCCCUGAUGCUAAGAUUGGCUCAGAGUGUUCAUCCACCCAUUAAUUGAGUAUUAACCAGCCCUCUGUGCUGAUUCAACAGAUAUUUAGGCUCACGGUGCUUUAUACUAAGAAAGCUCCGCAGCUGUCUGCCCAGGAGCUGGUGGUGUUCGUGAAGAAGAUGGCAGCGGUUGCCAGGAGAUGUUGCCCAUUAAGGGAUGAGCUGCAGUCCGCUUGCGUGGAGGACCAGACAAAGCUGAUUCUUGGAGAGCUGUGCAGAAGACACGGUGGGAAGCCUGUCAAUGCAGGAGUGGGCCACUGCUGCGACGACUCCUAUGCCUUCAGAAAGCCGUGCUUUGAUGACCUGCGAGUCGAUGGCACUUACAUCUCUCCACCUUUAUCUUGUGACCAAGCCAUUAGUCUUAAAGAGGACUUGUGCCAAGCUCAGGACGAGGAACUGCAAAUGGAAAAGCAGAAGCUCCUCAGCACCCUGGUGAAGCAGAAGCCCCAUGCAGCAGAGGAUGUGUUCCAUUCCAUUGGCGAGAAUUUUGUGCAACUGGUGGAGAAGUGCUGCGGUGCACAGAGGAGAGACGUGUGUUUUCAAGAAGAGGGACCUCAACUGAUCACGAAGUGCCAGUCCCUCUUAGAGGCCAGCUCAUCCCAGAGCGGGUUGAUGUAGGAUCAUGGCUGAGAUCAGCGCUGUGGAAGGGGGCAGCUGACAGAGAGCCUUCGCAUUGGCUCAGCGCUGUUGCAGAACACUGGCCGGUCCACACCACCUUCCCUUUCCCCUCAGCAGAUGCCAUACGGACUCCCAGAUCAGCCCCGCUCAGAGCUCUCCCACCUCACGGCCUGCCUCUCAAGGGCAGAGACAAGAACCUAAAGAACAUUCAAGGCCUCCAGACAGUUUAAUGUGCGGCCACACUUCUCUGGGAACUGCUGCUGGGCCCCACAGUGGAGGCUUCAAGGUUGACAUGGAGCAGUCUGUACCACUUCUAAGAGGGAAAGGCACAAAUAAAGUUAUCUUCAUGCCUGGGCUCUGGCUCCUGGCUCUCCUGGGUGUAUUCAAAGCUGACUUUGCCAGCAAUGGCACCCAACACAUUUAUAUGAAUUUGAGCAGUAAAUUGUACUGAAAAUGACACAACGGAUUUAUAAUUGGGACUUUAAUUUUUUUCUGAUUUUAAAUAUUAAUUUAAUUAUGUAAAUUAAUAAUAACAAUGUACUAAUAUUAAUAACAUCAGCAGUAAUAGUUUAGUA